GCCAGGUGCAGUGGUGCACGCCUGUAAUUCCAGCAGCUUGGGAGGUUGAGGCAGGAGGAUCACGAGUUGAAAGCCAGCCUCAGUAACUGCAAGGUGCUAAGCAACUUGGUGAGACCCUGUUUCUA
RNAcentral lists this small RNA (125 nucleotides) under Marmota monax (woodchuck). The record is from RNAcentral. Lineage: Eukaryota; Metazoa; Chordata; Mammalia; Rodentia; Sciuridae.